Molecule: ribosomal RNA, 490 nt
Filed under: Rubneribacter badeniensis
Lineage: Bacteria; Bacillati; Actinomycetota; Coriobacteriia; Eggerthellales; Eggerthellaceae
Description: bacterial LSU rRNA
Rfam family: Bacterial large subunit ribosomal RNA
Source: RNAcentral
CCCAGAGUGGAAUGGCCGUCGCUCAACGGAUAAAAGGUACUCCGGGGAUAACAGGCUGAUCUUGCCCAAGAGUCCACAUCGACGGCAAGGUUUGGCACCUCGAUGUCGGCUCAUCGCAUCCUGGGGCCGAAGUCGGUCCCAAGGGUACGGCUGUUCGCCGUUUAAAGCGGUACGCGAGCUGGGUUCAGAACGUCGUGAGACAGUUCGGUCCCUAUCCUCCGCAGGCGCAAGAGGAUUGAGGAGGUCUGCCCCUAGUACGAGAGGACCGGGGUGGACGGACCUCUGGUGCAGCAGUUGUCGACCAACGGCACGGCUGCCUAGCUACGUCCGGCACGGAUAACCGCUGAAAGCAUCUAAGUGGGAAGCCGUCUCCGAGAUGAGUCCUCUCUUCGGUAAGGGCCCUCGCAGAACACGAGGUCGAUAGGGCGCAGGUGCAAGGCGGGCGACCGCCUCAGCCGAGCGCUACUAAUAGCCCGAGUUCUUCUCGCGC